CUGAACAUUGAGCCUUGAUGUGUAGGAUAGGUGGGAGGCUUUGAAGUGUGGACGCCAGUCUGCAUGGAGCCGACCUUGAAAUACCACCCUUUAAUGUUUGAUGUUCUAACGUGGACCCGUUACCCGGGUUGCGGACAGUGUCUGGUGGGUAGUUUGACUGGGGCGGUCUCCUCCUAAAGAGUAACGGAGGAGCACGAAGGUUGGCUAAUCCUGGUCGGACAUCAGGAGGUUAGUGCAAUGGCAUAAGCCAGCUUGACUGCGAGCGUGACGGCGCGAGCAGGUGCGAAAGCAGGUCAUAGUGAUCCGGUGGUUCUGAAUGGAAGGGCCAUCGCUCAACGGAUAAAAGGUACUCCGGGGAUAACAGGCUGAUACCGCCCAAGAGUUCAUAUCGACGGCGGUGUUUGGCACCUCGAUGUCGGCUCAUCACAUCCUGGGGCUGAAGUAGGUCCCAAGGGUAUGGCUGUUCGCCAUUUAAAGUGGUACGCGAGCUGGGUUUAGAACGUCGUGAGACAGUUCGGUCCCUAUCUGCCGUGGGCGCUGGAGAACUGAGGGGGGCUGCUCCUAGUACGAGAGGACCGGAGUGGACGCAUCACUGGUGUUCGGGUUGUCAUGCCAAUGGCACUGCCCGGUAGCUAAAUGCGGAAGAGAUAAGUGCUGAAAGCAUCUAAGCACGAAACUUGCCCCGA
RNAcentral lists this ribosomal RNA (686 nucleotides) under Salmonella enterica subsp. enterica serovar Muenchen. Its description in RNAcentral is "partial 23S ribosomal RNA". It matches the Rfam family "Bacterial large subunit ribosomal RNA", at positions 2117 to 2802 of the family's 2925-position model. RNAcentral also lists the same sequence under 2 other names. The record is from RNAcentral. Lineage: Bacteria; Pseudomonadati; Pseudomonadota; Gammaproteobacteria; Enterobacterales; Enterobacteriaceae.